This is a non-coding RNA of Paramuricea clavata, 88 nucleotides long. The record is from the annotation of a GenBank genome assembly. NCBI's taxonomy places the organism in Eukaryota, Metazoa, Cnidaria, Anthozoa, Malacalcyonacea, Plexauridae.
UUGCUCUAAUUUCUUUAGGAAUAGAAUUCCAAAGGUGUGCUCCGUCAUACACCUUUGGAAUUCUAUUCCUAAAGAAAUUAGAGAGAGC